GCUGAUGACCCUAAUCCAGUCUUUGCAACUUCAGGCUUGCGAGUUUCUCCAGUUGAUUCUUCUGCAUUGAAAGUGAUCGAAGCAAAAGGCGGAAGGGAAGCCAAUGACUCAGGUGUAAGAGGGAGCCCAUGUGCUUCAAUCUGAUUCCGAUACGAAUAGAACUCAUUGCAACCCAAGAUAGUUAUGUCAAGACCCUGCAGAAGUAGUGUCUGCAAUCUGUCCUUCUUAUCUUUGUCAAGUCUUUCAUGGGCUGCUGCAACAGCAUACUG
Molecule: unclassified non-coding RNA, 269 nt
Filed under: Hevea brasiliensis (rubber tree)
Lineage: Eukaryota; Viridiplantae; Streptophyta; Magnoliopsida; Malpighiales; Euphorbiaceae
Source: RNAcentral